GUCAUCAACUUGAUUAAAAUUGCUGAGGCACGGAGAAGAUAUGAAGGCUACCGAUACAUCAGCAGGCACCAUAUCUUUUGGGCAGUUGGUUUGACAGGAGUUAAGGGCUUUGUUGAGAAGCUUAUUAUUGGUAUAAGAUUGCAGAAUUUAGUUGAAGAACCUGCCGCAUAUCCCCGUACAACUUGUACAUGUCAACUCGGACUAUAGCAAAUAUUAUUGGUGAUGAGAUUGUUGGAGUUGAGCAUUUGAUUGUUACCAUUGCUUUUGAAGCGAAUCAGAGAAGGCUGGAUGAGAAGGCAGAUGUUUCUCCACCUCUUGUUGCAGAUGGUAGUGAAUGGAAAGAGUUCGAAAGCAAGAAACGUGUUCAAGCAUUUUUAAAUGCUAUGAAAAGGUAUAAAAGAAAAUCUGGAG
Durio zibethinus is the source of this 411-nucleotide non-coding RNA. The record is from RefSeq and is a predicted model, not a curated record. NCBI's taxonomy places the organism in Eukaryota, Viridiplantae, Streptophyta, Magnoliopsida, Malvales, Malvaceae.